Molecule: long non-coding RNA, 1233 nt
Filed under: Homo sapiens (human)
Lineage: Eukaryota; Metazoa; Chordata; Mammalia; Primates; Hominidae
Description: HSALNT0372316
Source: RNAcentral
CUUCAGGAGUGAAGCUGCAGACCUUCGCGUGAUGGAGGUUGAGAAGUCCAACUUCAAGGCACCACAUCUGGUGAGAGCCUUCAUUCCGAUGACAGCCUUCAUGCUGGUAAGAUUUUCUUCAGAGUUCCAAGGUGGUGCACGGCAUCACAUGGCGAAGGAAAUGAGCGUGCUAGCUCAGGUGUCUCUUCCUCUUCUUAUAAAGCCACCAGUCCCACUCCUGUGCUAGUAACUCUUUAAUCCAUCAACCCAUUAAUCCAUGAAUAGAUUAACCCAUGAGGCCUCUGCCCUCAGGACCCAAUCACCUCUUAAAGGCCUGACCUGUCAAUAUUGCCAUACUGGGGACUCAGUUUCAACAUGAGUUUUGAAAGGGACAAACAUUCAAUCCAUAGUAACAUGAGAGCUUUUCAAAGCCCUUCUUUGUUGAAGUAUGUCCUUCUCCAGCCUCUUUUUUCCCAGGCUUUUUGUUUUUUCUAUUGCUUGUGCAGCUGUUAUCCUUUGCUACAGGUGGCAAUAGCUAAUACAUUUGCCUUUAAAUUUGUUUGACAAACACCACCCUGGAAGUAGCCUCAACUCUGGGGAAGCUCCAAGACAGGUAAAAUACAGCAACCUGCAGCAGGAAAAUGGGCUUCAGUUUUCAAGUCUGCAGCUGAGUUGGGAAGUUGCGGACAGUAACCAGAGGAAAGGCCACAUGGGGACAAGAGAGGGCAACUGUCUACAAAUCUGGAAGAGAGACUUCAGAAGAAACCAGCACUGAUGGCAUCUGAUCUUGGACUUCCAGCCUCUGGAUCUAUCUGCCAGAGCCUGAUCUCAUACACACUGAUGUGGUACAGGAAAUGCCACCUGAAAAUAUGGUACCUUGGCAUUUGAGGAAACAGUAGAAGGAGGUCAUAGAAACUAGAAAGAAUUCCUCCUUGCUCUUUGUCCCCCAAAGGAGCCAUAAAACCUGGGCCGAGUUUCUUCUGAAAAUAAGUUAUAAGAUCCUUAUUCCAGAGGGGUCCUGCCCUGUGCCUGGAGGAAAAGAAUGAAGACACAGAGAUGCCUUGAAGAAUCUGAACAAACAGCCCUUGCUAAGUUCCCCCCAGUUUAUUGACAUUAGAUUAGACCUUUUGUCCUCCAAUUAUACUUCUGUGUUCCUGAAAAUACACAUUUUCCCGUUUUUUCUUUUGUUUGCUUUUUUUGAUCUUCAUUUCUGAAGAUUCCCAUGUCAUGUAAAAUAUAUGUUAAACAAAUGUG